UAUUAUAUUCCAUUAUGUUCUGCUGUAGGCUUUUAAUUAUUUGACUUUCCAUUUUGUCAUUGGCUGAAAUCGUAAUACUUCAUUUUGAAUGACUCGACUAUAUGUGCAAAUGGCACCUACUUUUGAUUAUUAUUUUUAAUUAUUAUUAAAUUAUAUUUAUCUAUUGCCAAAAAAAUUUAAUAGGAUUAAUCAAGGGUUUUACAGAGUUUUAGAAUGAUGGACAAUUUAGGAGACAUAAAAUAGGGAAUAGAAAAAGAUGCAAUGCUGAAUUAGGCUUUGCAAAUAAUGGAGAUAUGGAAUGAGAUGAGAGAAGUCAAAAUAAAAGAAAUAAAAAGGAGGCUUUACAGUGAUUUUGUUAUAUAUUUGCUAUACCUUAUCAUAAGCACCUUCCCAGAGCCCAGCAUCAUAUUUAUAUACAUGAAUUGCCAGAAAUACCAUAUUUUAUUUAUUUACAAAGGUAAUUUGUCAAAUUUUCUAGUUG
Molecule: long non-coding RNA, 481 nt
Filed under: Manihot esculenta (cassava)
Lineage: Eukaryota; Viridiplantae; Streptophyta; Magnoliopsida; Malpighiales; Euphorbiaceae
Description: long non-coding RNA (MESC_LNC012363)
Source: RNAcentral